This is a non-coding RNA of Pelobates cultripes (western spadefoot toad), 168 nucleotides long. The record is from the annotation of a GenBank genome assembly. Lineage: Eukaryota; Metazoa; Chordata; Amphibia; Anura; Pelobatidae.
GCAGACACAUUCCAGCCAAUCAGCAGCAGACCCUCCCUCCCAGACCCUCCCACCUCCUGGACAGCAUCCAUUUUACAUUCAUUGUGAAGCUGUAUUCUUAGUGAGCUGUCCAGGAGGUGGGAGGGUCUGGGAGGGAGGGUCUGCUGCUGAUUGGCUGGAAUGUAUCUG